GAUGAACGCUGGCGGCGUGCCUAAUACAUGCAAGUCGAGCGAACGGACGAGAAGCUUGCUUCUCUGAUGUUAGCGGCGGACGGGUGAGUAACACGUGGAUAACCUACCUAUAAGACUGGGAUAACUUCGGGAAACCGGAGCUAAUACCGGAUAAUAUUUUGAACCGCAUGGUUCAAAAGUGAAAGACGGUCUUGCUGUCACUUAUAGAUGGAUCCGCGCUGCAUUAGCUAGUUGGUAAGGUAACGGCUUACCAAGGCAACGAUGCAUAGCCGACCUGAGAGGGUGAUCGGCCACACUGGAACUGAGACACGGUCCAGACUCCUACGGGAGGCAGCAGUAGGGAAUCUUCCGCAAUGGGCGAAAGCCUGACGGAGCAACGCCGCGUGAGUGAUGAAGGUCUUCGGAUCGUAAAACUCUGUUAUUAGGGAAGAACAUAUGUGUAAGUAACUGUGCACAUCUUGACGGUACCUAAUCAGAAAGCCACGGCUAACUACGUGCCAGCAGCCGCGGUAAUACGUAGGUGGCAAGCGUUAUCCGGAAUUAUUGGGCGUAAAGCGCGCGUAGGCGGUUUUUUAAGUCUGAUGUGAAAGCCCACGGCUCAACCGUGGAGGGUCAUUGGAAACUGGAAAACUUGAGUGCAGAAGAGGAAAGUGGAAUUCCAUGUGUAGCGGUGAAAUGCGCAGAGAUAUGGAGGAACACCAGUGGCGAAGGCGACUUUCUGGUCUGUAACUGACGCUGAUGUGCGAAAGCGUGGGGAUCAAACAGGAUUAGAUACCCUGGUAGUCCACGCCGUAAACGAUGAGUGCUAAGUGUUAGGGGGUUUCCGCCCCUUAGUGCUGCAGCUAACGCAUUAAGCACUCCGCCUGGGGAGUACGACCGCAAGGUUGAAACUCAAAGGAAUUGACGGGGACCCGCACAAGCGGUGGAGCAUGUGGUUUAAUUCGAAGCAACGCGAAGAACCUUACCAAAUCUUGACAUCCUUUGACAACUCUAGAGAUAGAGCCUUCCCCUUCGGGGGACAAAGUGACAGGUGGUGCAUGGUCGUCGUCAGCUCGUGUCGUGAGAUGUUGGGUUAAGUCCCGCAACGAGCGCAACCCUUAAGCUUAGUUGCCAUCAUUAAGUUGGGCACUCUAAGUUGACUGCCGGUGACAAACCGGAGGAAGGUGGGGAUGACGUCAAAUCAUCAUGCCCCUUAUGAUUUGGGCUACACACGUGCUACAAUGGACAAUACAAAGGGCAGCGAAACCGCGAGGUCAAGCAAAUCCCAUAAAGUUGUUCUCAGUUCGGAUUGUAGUCUGCAACUCGACUACAUGAAGCUGGAAUCGCUAGUAAUCGUAGAUCAGCAUGCUACGGUGAAUACGUUCCCGGGUCU
This 1372-nucleotide ribosomal RNA is filed under the name uncultured bacterium. Its description in RNAcentral is "bacterial SSU rRNA". It matches the Rfam family "Bacterial small subunit ribosomal RNA", at positions 28 to 1381 of the family's 1533-position model. The record is from RNAcentral.